RNAcentral lists this ribosomal RNA (440 nucleotides) under uncultured bacterium. Its description in RNAcentral is "partial 16S ribosomal RNA". It matches the Rfam family "Bacterial small subunit ribosomal RNA", at positions 338 to 795 of the family's 1533-position model. The record is from RNAcentral.
CCUACGGGAGGCUGCAGUAGGGAAUAUUGCUCAAUGGGGGAAACCCUGAAGCAGCAACGCCGCGUGGAGGAUGAAGGUUUUAGGAUUGUAAACUCCUUUUGUCAGAGAAGAUUAUGACGGUAUCUAACGAAUAAGCACCGGCUAACUCCGUGCCAGCAGCCGCGGUAAUACGGAGGGGGCAAGCGUUACUCGGAAUUACUGGGUGUAAAGAGUGCGUAGGCGGGGGAAUAAGUCGGAGGUGAAAUCCUGUGGCUUAACUACAGAACUGCUGUUGAAAAUGUUAAUCUGGAGUGUGGGAGAGGUAGGUGGAAUUCUUGGUGUAGGGGUAAAAUCCGUAGAGAUCAGGAGGAAUACUAGUUGCGAAGGCGACCUGCUGGAACAUUACUGACGCUGAUGCACGAAAGCGUGGGGAGCAAACAGGAUUAGAUACCCUUGUAGUC